Molecule: long non-coding RNA, 839 nt
Organism: Ceratina calcarata
Lineage: Eukaryota; Metazoa; Arthropoda; Insecta; Hymenoptera; Apidae
Exons: 2
Source: RefSeq, a predicted model, not a curated record
AAAGGUCCUAUGCAAUUUUCCCGUAUCUCCAAGGGUUUACGAGUUAUUGAGAAAAAACGAAAUUUUUUGUCAAAAGCGAAAGGCUCCAAUAUUGCUGCACCAGAGAGAAAAACGGGUUCGCGGCCAUGAACGCUAGAUGGCGCCACGGGCAACCCCAAAUUGAUUUGAGGUAUUUGUACCUGUUUGUACCAGAGAUGAAAAGGGAGAUUGCUCAUUUCUUUGUUCGAAAGUGGACACGGCUCACUACCGCACCCUAGUGUCAAUGUCCAUUAUUUAAGGGGAAAUAGACGUAGUUUAGGAAGGAUUGUGCACUACUCCCCUCAAGAAGUGGACACGCCGAAGAGAGCUGAAAAUAUACGUAUAAGAUUUGCCAUGCUCGUGCCUAGGGUAUUCGUCUACAAGCGCUCCAUCUCGCGGCCGGCUUCGUGCAUCUCCUAAAAGAAGGGGCGCGUGUCGAGUGACGCAGUACGUGCGUGUGUGCGUGCUGACUGUCAGGCAAGCGAAUUCUAAAUUCACUCCUCGAGGCUCGGAAUCUUCGACGCUUCGAGACUCGGAGUCUUCGAGGCUCCGUGUGUUCGAAACCCAGACAAUCCACUCUUUUUUUCUUUGUUGUUUAUUCAUCUGAAAAAAUUCCAACACGUCCGUAGCAUAACUGGACACAUCUGAGAAUUAUUUCAGAUUUUUUUGUUACAAAAUGUAACCGUGAAAAAUAAGAAGAUUUUUAGGUUUGGUGCGUCAAUGCGAAAAAAAUCAAAAACUAUGUACGUCUCAUGUUGAAGUACGUAAAUGAAAGACGCGCUUCCAGCAGCGGCAACAGCGAAGGGGUGAUGACACGAGGU